GUCCACGCCGUAAACGAUGAUAACUAGCUGUCCGGGCACAUGGUGCUUGGGUGGCGCAGCUAACGCAUUAAGUUAUCCGCCUGGGGAGUACGGUCGCAAGAUUAAAACUCAAAGGAAUUGACGGGGGCCUGCACAAGCGGUGGAGCAUGUGGUUUAAUUCGAAGCAACGCGCAGAACCUUACCAGCCUUUGACAUCCCGGUCGCGAUUACCAGAGAUGGUUUUCUUCAGUUCGGCUGGACCGGUGACAGGUGCUGCAUGGCUGUCGU
RNAcentral lists this ribosomal RNA (267 nucleotides) under uncultured bacterium. RNAcentral describes it as "partial 16S ribosomal RNA". It matches the Rfam family "Bacterial small subunit ribosomal RNA", at positions 793 to 1055 of the family's 1533-position model. The record is from RNAcentral.